This 603-nucleotide ribosomal RNA is filed under the name uncultured bacterium. RNAcentral describes it as "bacterial SSU rRNA". It matches the Rfam family "Bacterial small subunit ribosomal RNA", at positions 338 to 944 of the family's 1533-position model. The record is from RNAcentral.
CCUACGGGAGGCAGCAGUGAGGAAUAUUGGACAAUGGGCGCAAGCCUGAUCCAGCCAUGCCGCGUGCAGGAAGACGGUCCUAUGGAUUGUAAACUGCUUUUGUACAGGAAGAAACACUCCCUCGUGAGGGAGCUUGACGGUACUGUAAGAAUAAGGAUCGGCUAACUCCGUGCCAGCAGCCGCGGUAAUACGGAGGAUCCAAGCGUUAUCCGGAAUCAUUGGGUUUAAAGGGUCCGUAGGCGGUUUAAUAAGUCAGUGGUGAAAUCUGGUCGCUCAACGAUCAAACGGCCAUUGAUACUGUUAGACUUGAAUUAUUAGGAAGUAACUAGAAUAUGUAGUGUAGCGGUGAAAUGCUUAGAUAUUACAUGGAAUACCAAUUGCGAAGGCAGGUUACUACUAAUGGAUUGACGCUGAUGGACGAAAGCGUGGGGAGCGAACAGGAUUAGAUACCCUGGUAGUCCACGCCGUAAACGAUGGAUACUAGCUGUUCGGAGCAAUCUGAGUGGCUAAGCGAAAGUGAUAAGUAUCCCACCUGGGGAGUACGUUCGCAAGAUGAAACCUNAAAGAUGACGNNGNGAGNGCGAGACGACGACGAGGAGGAGG